UUCGCCCUUCGAUUGAUCCCGCCGGACCUGACUGCUAUCGGAUUGAUACUAAGCCAUGCGAGUCAUUGUAGCAAUACAAGGCAGACGGCUCAGUAACGCGUAGUCAACCUAACCUAUGGACGGGAAUAACCUCGGCAAACUGAGAAUAAUGCCCGAUAGAACACUAUACCUGGAAUGGUUUGUGUUCCAAAUGAUUUAUCGCCGUAGGAUGGGACUGCGGCCUAUCAGUUUGUUGGUGAGGUAAUGGCCCACCAAGACUAUUACAGGUACGGGCUCUGAGAGGAGUAGCCCGGAGAUGGGUACUGAGACACGGACCCAGGCCCUAUGGGGCGCAGCAGGCGAGAAAACUUUGCAAUGUGCGAAAGCACGACAAGCUUAAUCCGAGUGAUUUGUGCUAAACGAAUCUUUUGUUAGCCCUAGAUCCACUAACGAUUAAGGUGUGGGCAAGUUCUGGUGUCAGCCGCCGCGCUAAACCCAGCACCUCAGGUG
RNAcentral lists this ribosomal RNA (489 nucleotides) under uncultured archaeon. Its description in RNAcentral is "bacterial SSU rRNA". It matches the Rfam family "Archaeal small subunit ribosomal RNA", at positions 1 to 490 of the family's 1478-position model. The record is from RNAcentral.